AAAAACAUUUUUUCGCAACUCUAAUUUCGAAAAUUGUAUCAAAAAGGCUUUUAAAAUCGGCCCCGAGGCGUGAUACUUUCGGAAAAUUCUAAAUCUUCUGUUUUCAUUCCAAUUUCACCAUAAUCAUUUUUAAAUUACCUUUUACCUUUUCUAAGUCAAUAAAAAUAGUAUCUCAUACUAUUUUAUUUACACUUGAUUUUACUAAAAUAUCUUUCAAAAUUUGCAUUCUACAGAACUGCGUAUCGGUACUCGGGUUCACGUACUGGUACUCGGGCAUCCAGUUCCGGUACCCCGUGUCAUGCCCCGAGACCCGCCUCUUUGGUCGGAUUCGGGCACGCCAACAGACCGCCGAACGGACAGGGUUUUUCCUGUACCGCGAACAGAGCUUCCCAUGUAUGUCCAAGGCAUCGCAACAGUGCAAGUCACGAGGUUCCAACCAGGAACAAAUUCAUACAUGAUUGCAUAAGGAAAAUAUCAAAACAUAAAUACAACUAUACUAUUACAAGCAUUCGUCCCAGUUUUAGCAUUUUACAUACACAUUUACAUAUUACAUUCUUAAUUCCUUUUAGCUUUCAAAUACAAUCUAGCGUUUACAACUCAUUGCAAUUUUAUUCUUUCCUUUUGUCCCUAAGUUAAGCCGAUUCAGGGUACUACUAUCUCUGGUGUCGGUGGUAGGGCGCUAUCUACGGAGCUAUGCCCUUUCCUCGCGCCGCCGCGCCGCUCGCGUGUGAACCUGAACCCCCCAAAACCACGGAGGGUGAGAACUAUAUAAAUAUAGUUCUCACACUACUACAAAUUUAUGAUUUAGCGGCAUUUACUCCGCAGCAUUUAUUUAAAUAACGCUAAUUAAUAUAUUUAACAGCAUUACUUGAUAAGUGCCGGUAAAUUUAAUAAUUUAGCAGCAAUUUACUAUUAAUAUUGCAAAAUAAAAUAAAUUAGAAGCAUAAAUUAGUGAAUGCCACCGAUGUUUCCAGCAUUUUAUAAAAAAUGACACUAAAUGUAAUAAAGUAGAAGCACUUAUUGCUAAAUGCCGCAAUAUUUGCUCCGCAAUAUUUAUUUAAAUCAUACCAAUUAAUAUAUUUAGCAGCAUUACUUGAUAAUUACCACUAGAUUUAAUUAUUUAGCAGCAAUUUACUAUUAAUGUUGCAAAAUAGGAUAAAUUAGCAGCAUAAAUUAGUGAAUGCCGCUAAAUAUAAUAAACUAGCAGCGCUUGUUACUAAAUAUCAUUACUAAUUAAUAUACAAUUAUUAAUAUAUCCUUUUUUUAUUUAGAAUUAAAAAUUUUAAAAUUAAAGUUUAAAAAUUCGAAACAUAUAAUUUUAAAAAUUAAACUUAUAAUUUAAAAUUUAAAAGUUUAAAAUUUAUAUUUUAAAUUUUAAAAAUUUAAAUUAAUUUCAAAUUUCAAAUUUCAAAUUUAAAACUAUUAAUUUUGAAACUUAAAAUUUCAUAUUUUAAAAUUAAAAAUUUAAAUUUAGUAUCUAAAUUUAAAAUUUUAAAAUUUUAAAAUAGGAGACUUAAAACUUAAAAAAUUAAAAUAUCGCUAGCGCAAGUGGCAAAGGGCUUGAUGGUUGGUACUCGAGGUCUCAAGUUUGAAUCCUAGUUGAUUCACAUUUCCAGCAAAGUUUAUUUCAAAAAGAAAUAAACGAAGCGGGUAGCAUUUCAAAAAAAUAAAAAUUAAAAAUAAAAUUAAAUUUUUAAAAUUUCGGCAUUAUAUUUAUGUGCCACUAAUAAACAAUUUAAAAUUAGCAUUUAAUCCCUUUU
This 1760-nucleotide long non-coding RNA is filed under the name Ananas comosus (pineapple). RNAcentral's name for it is "long non-coding RNA (ACOM_LNC043714)". Lineage: Eukaryota; Viridiplantae; Streptophyta; Magnoliopsida; Poales; Bromeliaceae. The record is from RNAcentral.